Molecule: long non-coding RNA, 1101 nt
Filed under: Oryctolagus cuniculus (rabbit)
Lineage: Eukaryota; Metazoa; Chordata; Mammalia; Lagomorpha; Leporidae
Description: lncRNA (ENSOCUG00000035184.1)
Source: RNAcentral
AUGCACACGGCCCCUUGGGGGGUUCCCAAGGUGGGGCUCUCAGGGUGCGUGAGGCCCCAGCAGCAGGCUGGACCACGUAGGAACCUUCCCGAGUCGGCGGCUGGGGAGGAAACAGCACCAGCGUGGACACACGAAUCGCCAUGUCUGCUAAAACCCGUCCGCGCAGGUUCUAGCAUCGUGCGCUCGCCAAGCGUGCCUCGCUGGUUUUCUAACAUCCCAGCGCUGGCUCCUGUCUCCUCAGGCUUUCCCGCUGGGCAGGAAGGAGGCCGAGACUCGUCUUCCCAACUUAAGAGGGCUGCAGGGCGAGUGCCAAAGGCCACACUGCCCGUCUGCCCCAGAAGGCUCUGGUACCCAGAAGUCCUUCCCCUCGGCUCUCCUGCCAGCGCCCUGCCAUCCCCCAAGGGGCUCGUCUUGUCACUCAGCACUCACCACGUGCCCGGGGGGGUCAGGGUUUCUGGAGAGGAGGCUCUCGGUACUGAAGACACGGAUGCUCCUGGACUGACAUCUUCCUGGAAGAACAGAGAAUGGCUCCUGAAGACAGCGGGCCUGUCCUCGGAGCACCUGGGCCCGAGCAAGGCCCACUUCCUGUGGGCCCCGAUGUCCUGUGGGGAGGGGGUCAGAGGCCCAGGAAGCUUGCACUGGGAGACCCGGCGGUGCUGGGAGAUGCUGGCACCGGGCAUGGAGGCAGGCUGGGAAGAGAGCUCCUGCCGAGGGGCCCCCAGCCCUGCCUGGGACGCUGGUGCCAGGCUCUCCUGCUGCAGCUGUCCCCCAGCGGCUUUCCUCAAGAAGAAACAAAGCCCCCAGCCCAGACCACCCGCUGCACCCUUUCUAGAGCCCUGCCGGCCUGUCUCCGGAGUCGCAGCUGAUGGUCUUUCCAGCCUGUUCUCCACCAAGUGCUCAGGGGAGCCGGAAGACCGGAAGCUUAGAGAAGGUCACCUCUGGGAGGUGCCAGGUGCAUUCUGGGUGCAGAAUGUGGGGCAGUCUGGCCUCAGGGAUCAGAAAGAAAAACCUACCCAGGUCUUCUUGCCUUGGAGGCAAGAGGUCGUAAAUAUUUUUGGCUCGCUGUCCAGGCCGAGGCAGUCAGUGAGGGCAUGCCAGUGA